AGUUUGAUCCUGGCUCAGGAUGAACGCUAGCGGCAGGCUUAAUACAUGCAAGUCGAGGGGCAGCAUGAACUGGCAAUAGUUUGAUGGCGACCGGCAAACGGGUGCGGAACACGUACACAACCUUCCUUUAAGUGGGGAAUAGCCCAGAGAAAUUUGGAUUAAUACCCCGUAACAUUGCGAUGUGGCAUCACAAUGCAAUUAUAGUUUCGGCGCUUAAAGAUGGGUGUGCGUAUGAUUAGAUAGUUGGCGAGGUAACGGCUCACCAAGUCUACGAUCAUUAGCUGAUGUGAGAGCAUGAUCAGCCACACGGGCACUGAGACACGGGCCCGACUCCUACGGGAGGCAGCAGUAAGGAAUAUUGGUCAAUGGACGCAAGUCUGAACCAGCCAUGCCGCGUGAAGGAUUAAGGUCCUCUGGAUUGUAAACUUCUUUUAUAUGGGACGAAAAAAGGUCUUUCUAGACCCCUUGACGGUACCAUAUGAAUAAGCACCGGCUAACUCCGUGCCAGCAGCCGCGGUAAUACGGAGGGUGCAAGCGUUAUCCGGAUCACUGGGUUUUAAAGGGUGCGUAGGCGGGUAGUAAGUCCAGUGGUGAAAUCCUGGGAGCUCCACUCCAGAACUGCCAUUGAUACUAUUUUAUCUGGAUAAUGGUGGGAGGUAAGCGGAAUAUGUCAUGUACAGGUGAAAUGCCUAAAUAUGACAUACAACACCCCAUUGCGAAGGCCGCUUCUACCCAUAUAUUGGCCCUGAGGCCCGAAAGCGUGGGGAUCCAAACAGGAUUAGAUACCCUUGGUAGUCCCCCCCCUAAACGAUGGAUCUCGACAUACGCGAUACGCUGUGUGUGCCUGAGCGAAAGCAUUAAGUAUCCCCACCUGGGAAGUACCGUUNGCAAGAAUGAAACUUCAAAGGAAUUGGCGGGGGUNCCGCACAAGCGGUGGAGUAUGUGGUUUAAUUCGAUGAUACGCGAGGAACCUUACCUGGGCUAGAAUGCUGGGAGACCGCUAGUGAAAGCUAGUUUUGUAGCAAUACACUGCCAGUAAGGUGCUGCAUGGCCGUCGUCAGCUCGUGCCGUGAGGUGUUGGGUUAAGUCCCGCAACGAGCGCAACCCCUAUCUUUAGUUGCCAACAGGUAAUGCUGGGAACUCUAAAGAAACUGCCGCCGUAAGGUGUGAGGAAGGAGGGGAUGAUGUCAGGUCAUCAUGGCCUUUAUGCCCAGGGCUACACACGUACUACAAUGGGGAAGACAAAGGGCUGCAACAUAGCGAUAUGAAGCCAAUCCCAAAAACUUCCCCUCAGUUCAGAUUGCAGGCUGCAACUCGCCUGCAUGAAGCUGGAAUCGCUAGUAAUCGUAUAUCAGCAAUGAUACGGUGAAUACGUUCCCGGACCUUGCACACACCGCCCGUCAAGCCAUGGGAGUCGGGUGUACCUAAAGUCGGUAACCGUAAGGAGCUGCCUAGGGUAAAAUCGAUGACUGGGGCUAAGUCGUAACAAG
This 1490-nucleotide ribosomal RNA is filed under the name uncultured Sphingobacteriia bacterium. Its description in RNAcentral is "uncultured Sphingobacteria bacterium 16S ribosomal RNA". It matches the Rfam family "Bacterial small subunit ribosomal RNA". Lineage: Bacteria; Pseudomonadati; Bacteroidota; Sphingobacteriia. The record is from RNAcentral.